This is a long non-coding RNA of Erigeron canadensis, 1124 nucleotides long. RefSeq lists it as uncharacterized. The transcript is spliced from 4 exons. The record is from RefSeq and is a predicted model, not a curated record. Lineage: Eukaryota; Viridiplantae; Streptophyta; Magnoliopsida; Asterales; Asteraceae.
UAUAUACUUACAUUAAAAACUGUUACGAAUUGCUUAGACAAAUAUGCCCUGGUUAAUACUGGAAAAAAAAACCCUAUGUAGAACUACUUAUUUCCACAAUUGUAUAUUCAAAAAUAUCUAGAAUGUUUAAAAAAGACUUUUUGGCGACAUGGCGUUUCUCCCUCACAUUCAGAACUCUCCCCCCAAAACCCUUCCGCUUCGUUCCAGCAACCCUAACCCUCCCUCUUGCUCUCCGGCCGCUAUAUGUCUCCAUAAACAUAAACAUCCUAGGUUUUUGUUGUCUCUCCUACCGCUAUAUAAACAUCAUUCAGGGUUUUUAUCUCAUCAUUCAGGCCGUAUGUCUCUCCCACCGCAAUUAACAUCUGAUCCAUCUAUUUUGUAUCAUUAAUUUUUGAGGGUUACCAUCUGAUCGUCAAUUUCUGCAAGUUUCUAUUAUCAAUUUUGGGGGUUUGCAUCAGAUCCGAUCAUCAUAUUUGACGCAACCAUUACCAUCAUCAGCUUUUUUUCUUUUAUAUUAUCACUUUUGGGGGUUCAUGAAAUUAGGUGUAUGAUUUGUAAGACUUUUGAUUCGUUAUUCACAAUGAUUGGACUUUGCGGUCUCAGGGAUUUGUUUGACAAUAUGUUGUACGGUGGCAUCCUGUUUUCGAUCUCAAAGCUGGAGCAGCAAGAACUAUUGUGAUUUGUGCUAAUGGACGACCUCAGACUCUCGCUUCCCGUCGAGGUAAAUACAACUUAUUUAACAUUUUAACUAACGAUUGUAGUGGGCAAAGUGGGUAAUUGGUCAAUAUGAGCAUUCCUAACCUGGUCAAAAAGUGUGCCUGCAAGGUCGAUAUGAUUCAUAUGGUCAAAUCGGUCAAACCAUGUUCAUCUAACUCCAAAAGUAACUUUGCUUUUCUCGGUAAGAUACCAAUGGAUAUAAAGAGGCUGUCAAUAGAUAUACAGAAAUGAAAGCGAGGUUCCAUGAUGAUGCAACUAAACCAGAAUAAGAUUAGCGAUAGUUGGUUGAUUAUUUAGCUUUGUAUAUAAUAACUUACAAUUGAUUUUUUUUUUGAAAUACGGAUAGACAAGUUUGUUUACAUGUUGAUAAAUAAAGAAAAGUGGGUGAUUUUUGAUUGUUGUGUUUA